AGAUAGGUUGGGGGUGGAAGUGCAGUAAUGCAUGGAGCUGACCAAUACUAAUCGGUCGAGGGCUUAUCCUAAAA
Molecule: ribosomal RNA, 74 nt
Filed under: Paenibacillus sp. EKM208P
Lineage: Bacteria; Bacillati; Bacillota; Bacilli; Caryophanales; Paenibacillaceae
Also listed under: 1 other name
Description: partial 23S ribosomal RNA
Source: RNAcentral